AUACGAAGGGGGCAAGCGUUGUUCGGAAUAACUGGGCGUAAAGGGCACGUAGGCGGAUUGAUCAGUUAGAGGUGAAAUCCCAGGGCUCAACCCUGGAACUGCCUUUAAUACUGUCAGUCUAGAGAUCGAGAGAGGUGAGUGGAAUUCCGAGUGUAGAGGUGAAAUUCGUAGAUAUUCGGAGGAACACCAGUGGCGAAGGCGGCUCACUGGCUCGAUACUGACGCUGAGGUGCGAAAGCGUGGGGAGCAAACAGGAUUAGAUACCCUAGUAGUCC
Molecule: ribosomal RNA, 274 nt
Filed under: uncultured bacterium
Lineage: Bacteria
Description: partial 16S ribosomal RNA
Rfam family: Bacterial small subunit ribosomal RNA
Source: RNAcentral